Molecule: ribosomal RNA, 245 nt
Filed under: uncultured bacterium
Lineage: Bacteria
Description: partial 16S ribosomal RNA
Rfam family: Bacterial small subunit ribosomal RNA
Source: RNAcentral
UACAGAGGUCCCAAGCGUUGUUCGGAUUCACUGGGCGUAAAGGGUGCGUAGGCGGUCGGAUAAGUCCGAUGUGAAAUCUCCAGGCCUAACCUGGAAACGGCAUUGGAAACUAUUCGGCUGGAGGAUUGGAGGGGGGACUGGAAUUCUUGGUGUAGCAGUGAAAUGCGUAGAUAUCAAGAGGAACACCAGUGGCGAAGGCGAGUCCCUGGACAAUUCCUGACGCUGAGGCACGAAAGCUAGGGGAG